ACGUUCUCAGUCACAUAAAGUUCCACCGAAGUGUUACAGAAGAAAGCGCCGCACUGUUUUCCGUAUUCUCUUCUUUUUGCAACAGAAUGUACGUACAAGCUGGCAACCACAUCUAUUGGCUGAUUGCCUUAGUGGAUAUUGCAGGAGCGGUGGUCUCUCAACUGAACGGUGGCCGAAUUGUGUACCCGGAGUUAUUUCGGAGCCGUGAAGCAAAUGGUGGCCGCUUGCUGAAGAUAACAGACGACAUUCUACUUAAACUUAAAAAGAGUUCGGUUCUUGAAAGAGAGUUCCUCGUUAGGACUUACUCCGACGGUAUACCUGUGCACACCUAUAUGAGCGGACCUUACCUUGAGGAUGACCUUUACCAUGAUGAAGCAUCAAUGGCGUCGGUUACUGUCUCCUACGACAGCGGCCUUAGAGUGGAAGGCACAGUCGCCCCACGAAUGCGUAUCGCACCGCUUCCGACGCACGAACGGAGUGCCGAUGGCCGUAUUGCGCACCAACUGGUAGAAAUUCAAGACGAGCUAACUAGUGACAGUGGAGAUUACGAAGUCGCUGCCUAUCCAACCCUGCGAGCUUUCAACGGCGCCAUUGGAAGAAAUGAAAGUAUCCCUAUUUCGGAACGAUCAUCUGGAACUAUACGUCCCGAGCUUUUCGUUGUGGUGGACUCCCUGUUCGCACAGGUUUUCAGCAGUACCGCCAACAUCAUUAAAUAUGUCGCCAUAUGCGUAAAUGCUAUAAACCUGAGGUACUUGGGAGUUACUGAUCCAAAAGUCAAGCACAAACUUGUCGGACUGGAGGUUACAACGAGUGAACAAGAAUGGUUUCUACGGAGAGUGACCCGGGAUCCAAGAUACGUUCACGCUCAAGGCACCCUUGCCUCUUUCCAAACUUACGUAACUCAAAAUCGUGAGCUCUACAGUAACGCUGACGCUGUCUUCCUGUUAACAGGACAAGACUUGGCAACGAUAAAGAAUUAUGAAGUAAACAAUCGCAGUGGUGGUUAUGCGUAUAUUAGGACUGUCUGCAGUGAACAUAAAGUAGGGGUUGGAGAAGACCGACCACCUACAUUCAAGGGUGUUCAUGUAAUGGCCCACGAAAUUGGACAUAUCCUGGGUUGCCUGCACGACGGUGAAGAUUCCCCUUUUGGAAAUCAAGACAUCCCUGGCUCUCGGGAGUGCCCUUUCGAACACGGGUACCUGAUGAGUUAUAUACGGAAAGACAGUAACACUUACAAGUUUUCUCCGUGCAGCAUCGAACAGAUUAGAGAGACAGCACGGAAAUGGGAGUGAAAGACUGCACCAUUAGAUGUGGAACUGCAGGCAAAAAACGAGAUUCAGAACCCAAGCUUCUUCACUUGAGUGAUGGAACACCUUGUAAAACAAAGCAUGGCAAGACAUACAACUGCAUCAAUGGCUUAUGCUUGAAAAAGAAGAAGUCAUAUGGAUACGAAGCAGUGCCCUGAGGCUGUAGGAAACAGGAGAGUGCGCGUCGGUUUGUAAAUUAAAGGGCAGUGUCCAUGUUCUCCUUGUGAA
This 1535-nucleotide unclassified non-coding RNA is filed under the name Dermacentor andersoni. RNAcentral's name for it is "venom metalloproteinase antarease TserMP_A-like". Lineage: Eukaryota; Metazoa; Arthropoda; Arachnida; Ixodida; Ixodidae. The record is from RNAcentral.